UCAGCAAAACAGUAAACAGGGUGUGAAGAACGUCUUGUGUUAUCGGAUGAUUUCAGUUUAAAAUAUUGUUCCACUGAUAUCUGUGGUUGAUUUUUGAAAGCAGAAAUACUGGAUUAUGAACACAUUCAUACUUGUUGCAGGCACUAGCGCAGAUUUUCCGUGUGAAAAAAACUUAAUAGAAAACCUAGGAUCGGCUUAUAUGGCAGUGCCAGCAUUGGCUGGUGAAUAAUAACUUCAACACAUGUACAUUAUCGAUGCCGAG
Non-coding RNA from Paramuricea clavata, 262 nucleotides. The record is from the annotation of a GenBank genome assembly. Lineage: Eukaryota; Metazoa; Cnidaria; Anthozoa; Malacalcyonacea; Plexauridae.